CUCCUCCAUUUAUUCAAAUGACAGACGUUUGCCAAUAUCACAUGGAUUACGGCUAAAGAUGUCGUUUCGAAUGGGAUUAUUUCGAAGGAAUAUUUUCUGCAAUACAACAUGCUGGGUCGAGAAUGGAAUAACUUAAAAAGGUU
Molecule: long non-coding RNA, 143 nt
Organism: Stomoxys calcitrans (stable fly)
Lineage: Eukaryota; Metazoa; Arthropoda; Insecta; Diptera; Muscidae
Exons: 3
Source: RefSeq, a predicted model, not a curated record